CAACAGUACUCUCCUUGGGAAAGCUGGAAAGGUGGGAUUCUUUUGUGUCUUACAUCAGUGGUCUGCAAGUCCAGUCCAUGAGUCCCACUGUCCUGUGACUUUUGGUGGCAUCCCUGCUCCAAAACCCCUGAUUCAAAUGAAUUAAAAUGAAGCAAAAUGGUAGCUCAACCUUGUGAUUCAGAUCGGUCACACCUGUAAAAAGGAGGAUACGGUCAGACGCCAAGAACACCUGCAACCCUGCUCAUAUGGCCCAGGGCCGUCUCAGACUUCUUUCAGAYCAUGAAGACCAUCGGCUACAUUCCACGCAUCCUGACAAUAAUCUUCAGUAAGCUCUGUUAUGGAGCAUGUUCACUUCCUCCUCUCACCUCUGACUUUGCAGAGCUCCUGGUUUCCAGUUCCAUCCUGAACCAAAGACAUUCACUAUUUUUGUAAUAAACAUUCAUUUUGACUGA
Molecule: non-coding RNA, 452 nt
Organism: Poecilia reticulata (guppy)
Lineage: Eukaryota; Metazoa; Chordata; Actinopteri; Cyprinodontiformes; Poeciliidae
Source: RefSeq, a predicted model, not a curated record